RNAcentral lists this ribosomal RNA (468 nucleotides) under uncultured bacterium. RNAcentral's name for it is "partial 16S ribosomal RNA". It matches the Rfam family "Bacterial small subunit ribosomal RNA", at positions 28 to 507 of the family's 1533-position model. The record is from RNAcentral.
GACGAACGCUGGCGGCGUGCUUAACACAUGCAAGUCGAACGGAAAGGCCCUGCUUUUGUGGGGUGCUCGAGUGGCGAACGGGUGAGUAACACGUGAGUAACCUGCCCUUGACUUUGGGAUAACUUCAGGAAACUGGGGCUAAUACCGGAUAGGAGCUCCUGCUGCAUGGUGGGGGUUGGAAAGUUUCGGCGGUUGGGGAUGGACUCGCGGCUUAUCAGCUUGUUGGUGGGGUAGUGGCUUACCAAGGCUUUGACGGGUAGCCGGCCUGAGAGGGUGACCGGCGACCUUGGGACUGAGAUACGGCGCAGACUCCUACGGGAGGCAGCAGUGGGGAAUAUUGCACAAUGAGCGGAAGCCUGAUGCAGCAACGCCGCGUGCGGGAUGACGGCCUUCGGGUUGUAAACCGCUUUCGCCUGUGACGAAGCGUGAGUGACGGUAAUGGGUAAAGAAGCACCGGCUAACUACGUG